CCUCCCGUAAUUACUGAGAGGCCCCCCCAAAAGAACCCCCCACGAGCCCGCGCUUAACAAUCGCCCUUGUGUCCAAGCCAGCCCGCGGUUAAUUCCAGCUCCCAAUAGCCGUUAUAUUUAAAAGUUGUUUGCCGUUAAAAAAGCUCGUAGUUUGGAUUCUCCGGCCGGCCAGGGGUGGUUCGCUCUUCAGCGCUACUGCCCCGCUUUGCCCGUGUGAUUGGCGGAGGUUUCGGGGUGCUCUUCGUUGAGUGACUCGGAGCGCCGUCAGGUUUACUUUGAAAAAAUUAGAGUGCUCAAAGCAGGCUUUUCACGCUUGAAUAUUCGUGCAUGGAAUAAUGGAAUAGGAACUCGUUUCUAUUUUGUUGGUUUUCGGAAAUCGAGUUAAUGAUUAACAGGGACAAUUGGGGGCAUUAGUAUUCAGACGACAGAGGUGAAAUUCUUGGACCGUCUGAAGACUGACUACUGCGAAAGCAUUUGCCAAGAGUGUUUUCAUUAAUCAAGAACGAAAGUUAGAGGUUCGAAGGCGAUCAGAUACCGCCCUAGUUCUAACCAUAAACGAUGCCAGCUAGCGAUCUGCCGAGUUUUUUUUGUAGGCUCCGCAGGAAGCUUUCGGGAAACCAAAGCUUUUGGGUUCCGGGGGAAGUAUGGUUGCAAAGCUGAAACUUAAAGGAAUUGACGGAAGGGCACCACCAGGAGUGGAGCCUGCGGCUUAAUUUGACUCAACACGGGAAAUCUCACCAGGCCCGGACACUGGAAGGAUUGACAGAUUGAGAGCUCUUUCUCGAUUCGGUGGGUGGUGGUGCAUGGCCGUUCUUAGUUGGUGGAGUGAUUUGUCUGGUUAAUUCCGAUAACGAACGAGACUCUGUCCUGCUAAAUAGUUGGGUCGUCCUUCGUGCGAUCCAAGUUCUUCUUAGAGGGACUGGCUGCGUCUAGCAGCACGAGAUUGAGCAAUAACAGGUCUG
Molecule: ribosomal RNA, 962 nt
Filed under: uncultured eukaryote
Lineage: Eukaryota
Description: bacterial SSU rRNA
Rfam family: Eukaryotic small subunit ribosomal RNA (bases 113-962)
Source: RNAcentral